This 118-nucleotide ribosomal RNA is filed under the name Actinomycetota bacterium. Lineage: Bacteria; Bacillati; Actinomycetota. The record is from RNAcentral.
UCCGGUGGCCAUAGCGGCGGGGAAACACCCGUUCCCAUUCCGAACACGUAUAGUGAAGACCGCCAGCGCCGAUGGUACUUGGGGGGCAACCUCCUGGGAGAGUAGGACGUCGCCGGAU